CCUACGGGAGGCUGCAGUGAGGAAUAUUGGUCAAUGGACGCAAGUCUGAACCAGCGAUGCCGCGUGCAUGAAGAAGGCUCUAUGCGUGGUAAGCUGCAUUUGUACGAGGGUAAGCGCAGAUAAGCGGAUCUAUCUGAACGUAUCGUACGAAUAAGGAUCGGCUAACUCCGUGCCAGCAACCGCGGUAAUACGGAGGAUUCAAGCGUUAUCCGGAUUUAUGGGGUUUAAAGGGUGCGUAGGUGGUCGGAUAAGUUAGAGGUGAAAUCCCGAGGCCCAACUUCGGAAUGGCCUCUGAUACUGUGCGGCUAGAGAGUAGUUGCGGCAGGCGGAAUGUCUGGUGUAGCGGUGAAAUGCUUAGAGAUCAUACAGAACACCGAUUGCGAAGGCAGCUUACCAAGCUACGUCUGACGUUGAGGCACGAAAGCGUGGGGAGCAAACAGGAUUAGAUACCCGUGUAGUC
Molecule: ribosomal RNA, 460 nt
Filed under: uncultured bacterium
Lineage: Bacteria
Description: partial 16S ribosomal RNA
Rfam family: Bacterial small subunit ribosomal RNA
Source: RNAcentral